CGCAGCAUAGAGAAAUGGCAUCUCGUCAGACUCAUUAUCUGAAGUUGCAGCUUCGACUCCUGUUGCUGCUA
Molecule: transfer RNA, 71 nt
Filed under: Firmicutes bacterium CAG:466
Lineage: Bacteria; Bacillati; Bacillota
Description: transfer RNA-Met(CAT)
Rfam family: tRNA
About the family: Transfer RNA (tRNA) molecules are approximately 80 nucleotides in length. Their secondary structure includes four short double-helical elements and three loops (D, anti-codon, and T loops).
Source: RNAcentral